GGCAGGAGAAUUACCCCUGAAUGCUACCAUGAGCUCUAACUCCCUGCAGUUAGUUCUACAUCAGUGUUUUGAUGGAAUGAGUGAAAAUACUAUGUUGGAAUAAUGACUUCCAAAGAAUUGAGGAAAAUUAAAGUCCACCAAUCUCUGUUUUUAGCACAGUGCUGAGUGUGUGUGUGUGUGUGUGUGUGAGUGUGUGUGUUCCACACUUGAUGCUGUGUUAGGGAGAGAACACAAGACAGGAAGCUGUUUUCUUGAUGCAGAGCCAGGCUGAGAAAAGUAAAUACCAGAAUGUGUACGGUGUCAGAUGGGCAGAGGCCCAGUAGAGAAUGGAGCAAAGGAAACUACAAGGACAGCAACCUCAAGGCUGGGGAGUUCAGCGUGCAAAGAAGAUCGACCUGGCAUUGGUGCUUAAGGCCAAGAAGAAAAAUACCUCUUUUGUGAAAAGUUCCUUUUUAGCCUGACUGUUGGAAAAAGCAAGCCAAGAAUUUCAUAUGGGAAAUGGGAUCUGAAACUCCACCUU
RNAcentral lists this long non-coding RNA (520 nucleotides) under Macaca mulatta (Rhesus monkey). Its description in RNAcentral is "lncRNA (ENSMMUG00000050686.1)". The record is from RNAcentral. Lineage: Eukaryota; Metazoa; Chordata; Mammalia; Primates; Cercopithecidae.